UGGGGAAUAUUGGACAAUGGGGGCAACCCUGAUCCAGCCAUGCCGCGUGUGUGAAGAAGGCCUUUUGGUUGUAAAGCACUUUAAGCAGGGAGGAGAGGCUAAUGGUUAAUACCCAUUAGAUUAGACGUUACCUGCAGAAUAAGCACCGGCUAACUCUGUGCCAGCAGCCGCGGUAAUACAGAGGGUGCGAGCGUUAAUCGGGAUUACUGGGCGUAAAGCGAGUGUAGGUGGCUCAUUAAGUCACAUGUGAAAUCCCCGGGCUUAACCUGGGAACUGCAUGUGAUACUGGUGGUGCUAGAAUAUGUGAGAGGGAAGUAGAAUUCCAGGUGUAGCGGUGAAAUGCGUAGAGAUCUGGAGGAAUACCGAUGGCGAAGGCAGCUUCCUGGCAUAAUAUUGACACUGAGAUUCGAAAGCGUGGGUAGCAAACAGGAUUAGAUACCCUGGUAGUCCACGCCGUAAAACGGUGUCUACUAGCCGUUGGGGUCCUUGAGACUUUAGUGGCGCAGUUAACGCGAUAAGUAGACCGCCUGGGGAGUACGGCCGCAAGGUUAAAACUCAAAGGAAUUGACGGGGUCAUAGCUGUUUCCU
This 588-nucleotide ribosomal RNA is filed under the name uncultured bacterium. Its description in RNAcentral is "partial 16S ribosomal RNA". It matches the Rfam family "Bacterial small subunit ribosomal RNA", at positions 355 to 1375 of the family's 1533-position model. The record is from RNAcentral.